AUACGUAGGUGACAAGCGUUAUCCGGAUUUACUGGGCGUAAAGGGCGUGUAGGCGGUCUUGCAAGUCAGAAGUGAAAUUCCUGAGCUCAACUCGGGCGCUGCUUCUGAAACUGCAGGACUUGAGUGCUGGAGGGGAUAGCGGAAUUCCUAGUGGAGCGGUAAAAUGCGCAGAUAUUAGGAAGAACACCGGUGGCGAAGGCGGAUAGCUGGAAAGCAACUGGCGCUGAGGCGCGAAAGCCGGGGGAGCAAACAGGAUUAGAUACCGGGGUAGCCCACGCCGUAAACGAUGAAUACUAGGUGGAGGGGGUAUCGACUCCCUCUGUGCCGCAGUUAACACAAUAAGUAUUCCGCCUGGGGAGUACGGCCGCAAGGUUGAAACUCAAAUGAAUUGACGGGG
Molecule: ribosomal RNA, 397 nt
Filed under: uncultured bacterium
Lineage: Bacteria
Description: partial 16S ribosomal RNA
Rfam family: Bacterial small subunit ribosomal RNA
Source: RNAcentral